CGGGCCACACGUGUGCGGUGGGAGCGGCGGGCCCGGGAGCGCCAGCGGGACCGUGGGAUAGCGGAACAGAGGGACAGCAGGACACAGCGGGACAUCGGGGCAGAGGGACACAGCAGGACACAGCGGGACAGAGGGACACAGCAGGACACAGCGGGACAGAGGGACAGCGGGCGUGCCGGGCCCAGCCUGCCUGCCUGCCUGCCUGUGCGCGGCCUCUGUGUUGCCGCGAUGGAGAGCAAGGGUAAAAAGAAGUUCGUGGGGAAGAGUGGAAAAGGACCUCGUGGAAAAGCGCCGCACGGGAAAAGGAGAUUUAAAAAAGAUAAUGAUUCAGGUCCACCGAAGAAAGUCUUUAAAAAAGGAGAUGAGGAAGGAAAGCCUAAAUCCAUUUCCAAGAAAUUUGGUAAAGGACAGUUAAGACCUGGAAAAACUACUGUCAAACAAUUCAAGAAUGAACAGCAACCAUUAAAGUUUGCAAAGAAAAGAAAACUCCAGGAUGGUGAAGAGGGAGGGUCAGAUUCUAAGAAGCCAAAUUGGAAUGACUUCAAAAAGAAAAGGAAAGAGUUAAAGCAGACCAGACAAAUUAAUGAUAAAAGUAAUUAUGACGUCAUUGUAAAAUCUAAACAAGUAUGGGAAUGCGUAAGAAGGAAGAAAUGCGAUAAGGAGAAACGAGAAAAGCUGAUGAAUGAACUGCAGAAGCUUCUUCGUGGGAAAAUUAAAAACUUGGCGUUUGCACAUGAUUCAACCCGGGUGAUCCAGUGUUUUAUUCAGUAUGGUAAUGAGAAGCAAAGGCAAGAGACAUUUGAAGAACUGAAAGAUAGCCUAAUAGAGUUGAGCAAGUCAAAAUAUUCCAGAAAUAUUGUGAAGAAGUUUCUUAUGUAUGGGACAAAAGCACAAGUUGCAGAAAUAAUAAAAAGUUUUAAAGGCCAUGUGAAAAAAAUGCUCCGUCAUGCCGAAGCAUCUGCUGUGGUGGAAUAUGCAUAUAAUGACAAAGCCAUUCUGGAGCAGAGGAAUAUGCUGACAGAAGAACUAUAUGGGAACACUUUCCUGGUUUACAAGACACCGGCUGUCCCAACACUGGAUAAAGUGCUAGAAGCUCAGCCUGAAAAGAGAGAGGCCAUCUUGGAUGAGAUGAAGCAGAUUCUUACACCAAUGGCACAAAAAGAGGCGGUGAUAAAGCACUCACUGGUACAUAAAGUAUUUUUGGACUUUUUCACUUACGCUCUUCCAAAACAAAGAUCUGAAAUGAUAGAAGCUAUCAGAGAGGCUGUCAUCUACCUGGCACAUACUCACGAUGGAGCCCGAGUAGCAAUGCACUGUUUAUGGCAUGGCACUCCCAAGGACAGAAAAGUCAUUGUGAAAACUCUGAAGACGUAUGUUGAAAAAAUAGCAACGGGUGAAUUUUCUCAUCUGGUCUUGCUGGCAGCAUUUGAUUGCAUUGAUGACACUAAACUUGUGAAGCAGUUAAUUAUAUCAGAAAUAAAGGCUUCUUUGCCUGAUAUAAUAAACAACAAAUAUGGAAAGAAGGUCUUGUUGUACUUGCUAAGUCCUAGAGAUCCUGCACAUUUUGUUCCAGAAAUCAUCACACUUCUGCAACAGGGAGAUGGAAAUGCCUAUAGUAAGAAGAAUACUGAACUCCGUCGCCAUGAACUCCUGGAAGCCAUUUCCUCGCCUUUGCUAGAAUAUUUGCAAGAACAUACCCAAGAAGUAGUGAUAGACAAAGCUACUUUUGUCUUGGUUGCUGAUAUUUUAAGAACAGCUCUUGGUGACAUCCAGCCUGCACUAGAUGCAAUUGCCAAGUUAGCAGCAGAAGAGCUGGUUCCAGGAGGCUGUGAUGGACAGCUCCACAUUGCAGAACAUCCAGCAGGCCAUCUAGUUUUGAAAUGGUUAAUAGAGCAAGAUGAAAAAAUGAAAGAGAGUGGAAAAGAAGUUUGCUUUGGAAGAACACUGGUGGAACAUGUUGGUAUUGAGAAUCUGAAGACCUGGGCAGAAGUAAAUCGAGGUGCCAUUAUUCUUUGUUGCCUUCUCCGAAGCACUGAUGAAAAUGUGGCAAGCACAGUCAAAAAAGGACUAAAAAAGCUCAUCCCAAAGCUGAAGCAGAAUAAACAUAUAAAAGGAAUAGAAGCACUACUGGAGAAAUUGACUUCGUAGUGUAAAUGAACCUAAAAUAAUUAUUUACAUCAAUGCAGUCAACUGAGAUUUGCUUCUUGGUGGCCUCCCAAUAUCCAAAGCCCAAACUAUCAUUGCUGUGACAAAGGGUGGGAUGCACCUUCUCCACAGCACUCAGAUAUUUUCCUCAUGGCUCUCCGUGUGAAGUCAACCUUCC
Molecule: RNA transcript, 2323 nt
Organism: Pyrgilauda ruficollis (rufous-necked snowfinch)
Lineage: Eukaryota; Metazoa; Chordata; Aves; Passeriformes; Passeridae
Gene: PUM3
Gene name: pumilio RNA binding family member 3
Exons: 19
Source: RefSeq, a predicted model, not a curated record